Molecule: non-coding RNA, 85 nt
Organism: Desarmillaria ectypa
Lineage: Eukaryota; Fungi; Basidiomycota; Agaricomycetes; Agaricales; Physalacriaceae
Source: the annotation of a GenBank genome assembly
GGCCGACUAGCUCAGUUGGUUAGAGCGUCGUGCUAAUAUAUUGUAUUUAACGCGAAGGUCUUGGGUUCGAUCCCCACGUUGGCCA